UAAAAGGGGCUCUCAAUUUCAGGCUCUCAUGAAACAAUAUCUAAUUUUCUAUUGAGUUUACUACUGUUAGGGAUUACAUUAGAUAAAAAAUGAAAAACAAAUAUUCAGUUAUUAAUACUUUUAACUCAUUUUCUCGCUGUGUGUACAGUAUAGCAUUUAAAGGACGCGGGGAGAGGGGAGAAAAAUAUAUUGACACUAUAAUAAGAACUCAAUUUAAUUCAGGAAAUGCAGUUGAAAUAGACCAACGUGAUACAAGUGCCAAGAAAGAUACUGGUGGGGUAAUUGUGUGAUGCCUCUAACAUUAUUUAAUAAUAUAGAGAUAGAUUUAUUCAUUCAACACCAACGGUGUACAGCAAGAUAUUUUUUCAAUUUUUUUUAGAUGGUUUAGCAUUUAUUUUUCGAUUUCACUUAUUUCACCAUUUACAUGCUUCCUAAGAGUUUUAUAAGCCUGCACUUGUUUGUAAUUUAUUUUACCAGAGAAGACCCCGAACAAUAAAAGCAUGUUGGGAAGCAAAAGCUGUUGUUUUUUCCGUCUCGAUCAGCGCAACUGAUAAUCAAACACAAUUCGGAACUAACAGUUCAGCAGCGACGAAUUAGAUUAACUACGGUGAGGCGCGUGGCCAGGACACCGCUCUCGCGGAGCAAGGUCGCCAUCAGGAAGAGGAAUUGAACAGCUCCGUGCAAGGUUAAUUUGCAUGCCAGGGGAAGCCAAGUGUAACUAGAAUGAGCUUUGCCUGACUGAAAAUCAGUCGCGUUUGCUCCUUGGACCACUGCAGUCAUGAGAUUUUAUCAUCUCAUCCUUUUCCUCGUCUGCGCCGCGGCUGUCACAACAGUGCUCGGACAAGGCGAAGAUAACCACGUGGACACCCUGCAGCUGAUCAUGAGGAAUAUGAGGAUGAGGAUCUACGAUCCCCGUUGUCCGAGAGGCCAGUACAUUGUCCAAGGAACGUGCAAGUACCCUCUUAUCGGAUAAGCAGCUGUGUAACAUGAAGACCACACAGAAGACUCUAUUAAAUCGCAAACCGUGGUAAAUGGCACUUGUAUGGCAUGCAGUUAGUUCCUAUAAAAUAUGAUAAAUAAACUAUAUUUUUACACAA
Long non-coding RNA from Cloeon dipterum, 1097 nucleotides. RefSeq lists it as uncharacterized. NCBI's taxonomy places the organism in Eukaryota, Metazoa, Arthropoda, Insecta, Ephemeroptera, Baetidae. The transcript has 2 exons. The record is from RefSeq and is a predicted model, not a curated record.